CUACAGGCGGCUGCAGUGGGGAAUAUUGGACAAUGGGGGAAACCCUGAUCCAGCAAUGCCGCGUGUGUGAAGAAGGCCUGCGGGUUGUAAAGCACUUUCGGUUGGGAGGACUGCUUCUAGCACUAAUAUUGUUGGAAGUUGACGUUACCUUCAGAAGAAGCACCGGCUAACUCCGUGCCAGGAGCCGCGGUAAUACGGAGGGGGCAAGCGUUAAUCGGAAUUACUGGGCGUAAAGCGCGCGUAGGCGGCUAGAUCAGUCGGGUGUGAAAGCCCCGGGCUUAACCUGGGAACUGCAUCCGAUACUGUCUAGCUUGAGUACAGGAGAGGAGAGUGGAAUUCCACAUGUAGCGGUGAAAUGCGUAGACAUGUGGAGGAACACCAAUGGCGAAGGCAGCUCUCUGGCCUGAUACUGACGCUGAGGUGCGAAAGCGUGGGGAGCAAACAGGAUUAGAUACCCGAGUAGUC
RNAcentral lists this ribosomal RNA (465 nucleotides) under uncultured bacterium. RNAcentral describes it as "partial 16S ribosomal RNA". It matches the Rfam family "Bacterial small subunit ribosomal RNA", at positions 339 to 795 of the family's 1533-position model. The record is from RNAcentral.